This 459-nucleotide ribosomal RNA is filed under the name uncultured bacterium. RNAcentral's name for it is "partial 16S ribosomal RNA". It matches the Rfam family "Bacterial small subunit ribosomal RNA", at positions 338 to 795 of the family's 1533-position model. The record is from RNAcentral.
CCUACGGGGGGCAGCAGUGAGGACUAUUGGUCCAUGGGCGCGAGCCUGAACCAGCCAAGUCGCGUGAGGGAAGACGGUCCUAUGGAUUGUAAACCUCUUUUGUCGGGGAGCAAAAGACGCCACGUGUGGCGUUCCGAGAGUACCCGAAGAAAAAGCAUCGGCUAACUCCGUGCCCGCAGCCGCGGUAAUACGGAGGAUGCGAGCGUUAUCCGGAUUUAUUGGGUUUAAGGGGUGCGCAGGCGGAAGAUCAAGGCAGCGGUAAACUUGAGAGGCUCAACCUCUUCGAGCCGUUGAAACUGGUUUUCUUGAGUGAGCGAGAAGUAUGCGGAAUGCGUGGUGUAGCGGUGAAAUGCAUAGAUAUCACGCAGAACUCCGAUUGCGAAGGCAGCAUACCGGCGCUCAACUGACGCUCAUGCACGAAAGUGUGGGUAUCGAACAGGAUUAGAGACCCGAGUAGUC